AAGUCGUAACAAGGUUUCCGUAGGUGAACCUGCGGAAGGAUCAUUAGUGAAUUAUAGGGCGUCUACUUGUAGAGCCUGACCUCCACUUUCUAACACUGUGCACUUGAUGGCGAGGUAAUGGAACUUUCGAGUGAAACUACCUUGCGGCUUCAUUUUAAACAUUAGUCAAAGUAUGUAAUGAAAUAUUAAAACAAAAAAA
RNAcentral lists this unclassified non-coding RNA (199 nucleotides) under plant metagenome. RNAcentral describes it as "partial contains small subunit ribosomal RNA and internal transcribed spacer 1". The stretch from base 1 to 46 matches the Rfam family "Eukaryotic small subunit ribosomal RNA", at positions 1786 to 1831 of the family's 1831-position model. The record is from RNAcentral.